AACGAACGCUGGCGGCAUGCCUAACACAUGCAAGUCGAACGAGACCUUCGGGUCUAGUGGCGCACGGGUGCGUAACGCGUGGGAACCUGCCCUUAGGUUCGGAAUAACUCCCCGAAAGGGGUGCUAAUACCGGAUAAUGUCUUCGGACCAAAGAUUUAUCGCCUUUGGAUGGGCCCGCGUUGGAUUAGCUAGUUGGUAGGGUAAAAGCCUACCAAGGCGACGAUCCAUAGCUGGUCUGAGAGGAUGAUCAGCCACACUGGGACUGAGACACGGCCCAGACUCCUACGGGAGGCAGCAGUGGGGAAUAUUGGACAAUGGGCGAAAGCCUGAUCCAGCAAUGUCGCGUGAGUGAUGAAGGCCUUAGGGUUGUAAAGCUCUUUUACCCGGGAUGAUAAUGACAGUACCGGGAGAAUAAGCUCCGGCUAACUCCGUG
This 433-nucleotide ribosomal RNA is filed under the name uncultured bacterium. Its description in RNAcentral is "partial 16S ribosomal RNA". It matches the Rfam family "Bacterial small subunit ribosomal RNA", at positions 29 to 507 of the family's 1533-position model. The record is from RNAcentral.